This 481-nucleotide ribosomal RNA is filed under the name uncultured bacterium. RNAcentral describes it as "partial 16S ribosomal RNA". It matches the Rfam family "Bacterial small subunit ribosomal RNA", at positions 28 to 507 of the family's 1533-position model. The record is from RNAcentral.
GAUGAACGCUGGCGGCGUGCCUAACACAUGCAAGUCGAACGGAGAUUACGGACGGAAGUUUUCGGAUGGAAGACUGUAAUUCUUAGUGGCGGACGGGGGAGUAACGCGUGGGCAACCUGCUCUAUACAGGGGGAUAGCAGCUGGAAACGGCUGGUAAGACCGCAUAAGUCGGCGAGACCGCAUGGUUUUGCCGGGAAAUGAGCAAUCAGGUAUAGGAUGGGCCCGCGUCCGAUUAGCCAGUUGGCAGGGUAAAAGCCUACCAAAGCAACGAUCGGUAGCCGGACUGAGAGGUCGGACGGCCACAUUGGGACUGAGACACGGCCCAAACUCCUACGGGAGGCAGCAGUGGGGGAUAUUGCACAAUGGAGGAAACUCUGAUGCAGCGACGCCGCGUGAGUGAAGAAGUAUUUCGGUAUGUAAAGCUCUAUCAGCAGGGAAGAUGAUGACGGUACCUGAGUAAGAAGCCCCGGCUAACUACGUG